ACGGAAGGCAGCAGUGGGGAAUAUUGCACAAUGGGGGAAACCCUGAUGCAGCGACGCCGCGUGAGUGAAGAAGUUAUUCGUAAUGUAAAGCUCUAUCAGCAGGGAAGAAAAUGACGGUACCUGACUAAAAAGCCCCGGCUAACUACGUGCCAGCAGCCGCGGUAAUACGUAGGGGGCAAGCGUUAUCCGGAUUUACUGGGUGUAAAGGGAGCGUAGACGGUCUGGCAAGUCUGAUGUGAAAGGCAGGGGCUCAACUCCUGGACUGCAUUGGAAACUGUCAGUCUUGAGUGUCGGAGAGGUAAGCGGAAUUCCUAGUGUAGCGGUGAAAUGCGUAGAUAUUAGGAGGAACACCAGUGGCGAAGGCGGCUUACUGGACGAUAACUGACGUUGAGGCUCGAAAGCGUGGGGAGCAAACAGGAUUAGAUACCCUGGUA
This 434-nucleotide ribosomal RNA is filed under the name uncultured Lachnospiraceae bacterium. RNAcentral's name for it is "partial 16S ribosomal RNA". It matches the Rfam family "Bacterial small subunit ribosomal RNA", at positions 341 to 792 of the family's 1533-position model. The record is from RNAcentral. Lineage: Bacteria; Bacillati; Bacillota; Clostridia; Lachnospirales; Lachnospiraceae.